GGCGGGGGCGCGGGCGGCAGUGGCGGGAGCGGCCCCUCGGCCAUCCUCCGUCUGCCCAGUUACCGGUUCCGCUACCGCCGCCGCUCCCGCU
MicroRNA precursor from Microcebus murinus (gray mouse lemur), 91 nucleotides. The record is from Ensembl. NCBI's taxonomy places the organism in Eukaryota, Metazoa, Chordata, Mammalia, Primates, Cheirogaleidae.